GCCAUAUGGGGAGACAUUCUUCAAAUUUCCAACCGGAAGAUAUACCGAUGGCCGAAUUCUCCCAGACUUCUUAUCUAUGUACCUUAAAAUACCAUUGUGGAAACCGUAUUUAGCACCUGGAAAACAUAAUCUCCUCCACGGAGCCAACUUUGCCAGUGGUGGUGCGGCUGUGCUCCCUGAAUAUAGUGUUGAAGGACCGGUUUCCUUCAGCGAACAACUAAGCUAUUUCGAGAAUGUGGCUGGUUUGCUAAAGAAGCAGAUAGGUGAUGAGGAAGCAAAGGAGAUGCUAAAGGGAGCAGUUUACCUAUCUAGCCUUGGAGGCAUUGACAUCUUAUUUAGUGAUGUUUACAUCAAUGGUAAUCAAGUACAACGACAGGAACUCAUAAAUAUGGUCAUUGGCAAUAUAACUCAAGGGAUCAAGGGUUCAAAGAAGGGUUGAUUGGCUGUUGUGGGAAUGGGACAUUUCGUGGAUAUAGUUGUGGAGUAGAGCCAUAUGAGUUAUGCAGUGAGCCGAGUGAAUAUGUGUGGUUCGAUGGUGGCCAUCCUACUGAACAUGCCUAUGCACAAUUAGCUAAGCUCGUGUGGAAAGGUGGACCAAAGGCUACGAAGCCCUUUAACAUGAAGCAACUAUUUGAACUUGAUUAAACUUACAAAUUAGAUCAUGUUCCAUUUUAUUACUAUUAAUGUUACAAAUAAAGUGGCUGCAGCAAUUAAUAAUGAGUUUUAACUCAGCAAUAACAUGAGGCCUUGAAUUUGAAUAAAAAAGGUA
Molecule: unclassified non-coding RNA, 769 nt
Filed under: Hevea brasiliensis (rubber tree)
Lineage: Eukaryota; Viridiplantae; Streptophyta; Magnoliopsida; Malpighiales; Euphorbiaceae
Source: RNAcentral